CUUAUUAUUCUGUAUUUUCCUUCUAUUGAUCAUCUUCUCUUAUGUUAUUCAUUGUUUUUCUUCUAUCUCUCCUCUCAUUAUUCUUUAUUGUCCUUCUAUCAUCUCCUCUUAUGUUUCAUACAUAUGACACAAAGUGAUAUGAUUACUGAACUUGAAUAGCUACAUGUAUGCUGUAAAAUCUUUUUGUUUUGUACUUGGGUGGGUUCGAAUCCCGCGAAGCUGUUUUUAGCACAAGAGCUUUCAUGGUGCCAGUACAAUAUCAUUUGGUUCUAUAGCAUUCAACGUGCACGUUUCUGAUACAGAUACAAAUGUUGAAAGUAAAGAGGACAUCUCCUCAGAAUUGGCAGAGAACUCAAAGAUAAACUAAUUGAGUAUAAGGCACUUGUUUAGAGACAUAAGACGACAAUUUAGAAUUGUUGUUCUGGAUCCAGUUUAGAACAAGGCUUUUAAUUUCUUUGUAACAAUAACCUAAGUGACCACGGUAUAGAUCUGUUUGAAAUAAGGAGCACCCAGUCCUGCAACUGCCACGCCCACCAUCGGUUUGUGGGUCCACAGGAUCUUCAUCCCUGUGCUCGACCACCAGCACCAAAAAACUGAGGGUGAAGUGCAAAAAACUACCCCAACAUAAUGAGCAUCCAAUCCCGCUACUACCAGACACAUCAUCCGUUAGUGUGUCAGCUGGAUCAUCAUCCCUGUUCUGCAGUACCAGCGAUCAAGCGGCGAGGGUAAAAUUCACCCAGGAAGAGAAGGAGGCAGUCCAGAAGCUUUUCCAGAGCUGGAUAGAAAAGGGUGACAUGCCUCGCAUAGGCGUGGUGAGGGACAUAGUUAAACAAAAUAAAAAAGUAGCACGUUGCCUCUCUAACCGAUCAUUUCUCCAAGUGAGGGACAGAGUCCGCAAUGCAAUAAAAGCUCAAACAAAAUCUACGUCUAUGUAGAUCAUCAACUAUUUCAUUCAUCUUUCUUUUUUCUCAGUUGCUUUCUUAAUGUAAUAUCCCUCACAACGCCUAUGCAAGGCAUGUCACCUUUUUCUAUCCAGCUGUUGAUAUUCUAAUGAAAUGUUUAAGAAAUGGCAGUGCACACUUGUCAGUAAGUCUGAAUGUUUUGUUAAAGUAGUUUUCGUGAUUCUUCUUUCUAUUCUUGUUCUUUUACUUUUUACAUGAUGAUUAUGAUAUGCUUUUUAUGAAUAUGAAGGUACAAUUGUAUCAAUAAAAACCUUCAAUUGUCAUUAAUAAAACACUUUGAGCAGGACAUAGGAGAUAGUUUUGUAUUAUGUCCGAACUAAAUAUGAGUUGAGUCAAAUCAAAAAAUCAUAAUUAUCUACAUUGGACGUAAAAAUGAUUGAGUUAUGGCAUUUUUGAACUUUUGUAUUGUUUCAUGAAACAGUUAUAUGCAUAACAUGGGCUGUAUUUCGAUUAGUGACAUGCCGCACUGUCAUAUGCUCGAUUUUCCUUAUGUGUAUUAUAUUAAAUAUAUAUUCCUGUACACUAUUAACAUAUUUUUAAAAAGAAUACCCGUUUUACCGGUCCUAAGCUUUGGAACGAUUUACCUGAAACUAUGAGGAAAUCUGUACUUCUAUUGGAAGCUUUAAAAAAUGUAUAAUUUUAAAUUACAGUGCAUAAGUAUUAGCCCUAUACCCGAUGAGGCUGACGAGUGUGUGUGUGUAUAUUGUAUAAGGGGAUGUGUAUAUAACCCAAUUAUAUUGUACUGGCACCAUGAAAGCUCUUGUGUUAUAAACAGCUUCGCGGGACUCGAACCCACCCAAGUAAAAUAAAAAAGAGUUUACAACACACAUGAAGCUAUAUACUAAAGUUAAUUAAUAAUAGCAGUUUGUGUCAUAUAUAUUUAAAAGAAUUUGCACUUUAAUUAUGCAAAAGAUUAAAUGUAUUUUCUUACACCGUAACGAAUGUUUCACAUCAUUGCUUGUAAUUCCAGUCCUUAAUUUCAAUUUCACAGUAUGAAAUAUGAGAUAAAAUGCACUUGAGAGAGAGAGAGAGAACAAAAACACAGGGAAAGUUAAAAUUGAGAUAGUGAGUGAAACCAAUAUGAUGGAAAGUGGCAGUUGAGAUAGAGAAUGCAAUAAAAGGGGGGAAAUGAUAAUAAAGACAGAGAAAGUGGGGAUGGAGAUAGAAAGAGGGAACAUGAUGAGGGAAAGUGGAAGUGGAAGUAGAAGUAGUAAGGAAGAGCAGGUAGGGUAGUAUGAAAUAUGAGAUGAAAUGCACUUGAGAGAGAGAGAGAGAGAGAGAGA
Strongylocentrotus purpuratus (purple sea urchin) is the source of this 2245-nucleotide RNA transcript. RefSeq lists it as uncharacterized. The transcript has 3 exons. The record is from RefSeq and is a predicted model, not a curated record. NCBI's taxonomy places the organism in Eukaryota, Metazoa, Echinodermata, Echinoidea, Camarodonta, Strongylocentrotidae.